AUGAGAAGCUUGAGGAGACAUCCAGCAGCCGGAGGCCGACGUCGAGCCGCCGGUCACGCGGACGAAGGAGUCGCCCCGUGCCCCGCUCCCUCGCAGGGCGUCGUACUACUACUCCACCAGAGACAGGGAGGUCCCGGCGCUGCCAGCGCACGGCAGGCUUCUCGGCGGCCUCCUGACCGACGGUGUCGACGAGAGAUCCUAACACAGCAGGUACCAGCCCGCCAUGUACCGUCAGAGAGCCGGCAGGCAACCUUCCCCGUACCUCGUGUCCAAGCUGCAGCGGCACGAGGCCCUACAAAGACGCUACGGCCCAGGCACCGCCGCCUACAGCCACGCCCAGGAGCAACUCAGGUCGGGUAA
RNAcentral lists this ribosomal RNA (360 nucleotides) under Triticum aestivum (bread wheat). RNAcentral's name for it is "partial small subunit ribosomal RNA". The record is from RNAcentral. Lineage: Eukaryota; Viridiplantae; Streptophyta; Magnoliopsida; Poales; Poaceae.